GGCCGCGGCGCACGCGGGGCUCCGGACGCAGCCGCCCAGGGUCGCAGCCGUCCUGGCCUCCCAUUUCUCCCGGGACGAGCUGAGGUCACCGCCUUGGGCACAGGCGACUCCGGGUGCUUCAGGGGAGGAGGGCCAGCCGAGCAUUGGUGGACCCGACCCGGCGGCGGCGCCAGCCUCGAGCCGUGCCCUGCCCCCGAACCAAGCUUCUGGGAGCCCUGGGCGCGUUGGCCCUUCUGUCCCCCGCAGUUCUUAACGAACCCGUGGGAGGGAGAGCAGGGACUGUGGGUGACGUGCUCAUUUUAUAGGUGAGGCCUGUGAGGCACCUAGAGGCGAGGUGAUGCCCCCGAGGCCCAGAGCCCGCCCUGGAUGGAUCCGGAACCCAAAGUCAGCCGUAGAGUUCCUGAAUGUAUUUACAGGUGCCCAUUAGGUUGUGUAAACGAAGUGGCGGCAGGACUUGAGCGAUCAUCUGUUUCCCACAUCUCCCACAAACAGACCGCCAGAGAAGGGAAGUGACUUUCCCAAGGUCCUCCAGUUAAGUCCGUGGGGCCUUUUUCCAGUCCAGAUAAGAAAACUGAGGCAUGUAAAUGUGUCUCAUCACACCGUUAGUAAGGAGAGGAGCCACCCUUCAGACCCUGACUAUCCAGCUGUUACACCUGGCUCUUGGCUCCUGCUCGAGUUUUCCCCCGAAUCUCAUGGGACCCAGUGACCCUGCACGUGUAUAGCAGCCAUUUGCCUGGGUGGUGGCUGCCUUGCACAGGAGCACAGAGACAGAACUGCCUUCCUUCGACUCCCUCCACUGAAAAAAUAUUACAUGAGGCUUGCUGGUUACAAAACAGGAGAUUUUCUGUUGAAACUAUUCAUUUAAUUUCCAUUUCACUGGCUAUCUCUUGUACAACAGGGCUGGUACGAGAUGCCCAGAGAUACAAAAGUGAAUAAAACAACCCUGCCCUCAGGGGCCUUAUGGUUUAGUCAGGAAGAUAGGCAUAUAUCCAGACCAUUAAAACUUAAAAUCGAUGUAUGGGGAGUAAGUGUUGAGAUGUUCAACGUUUAUAGUCGCCUUACUGUUUACAAGAUGUUGUCACUCGAUUUUUGCCAUGUUCCUAUAAAGGAAUUAGGUCUGAGGUUCUUUUCUUUCCUAUUUUUUAGCUGAGGAGGCUGUACCCUAGUCAAGGUCAUAGUUCAUAAUGGUGAGGGGACCUUACCCAGCUGCUUUGACCUCUGACCCCAUGCUCUUCUCCAGUACACCAUGCCGCUUUCCCAUCUCAGGAUCUCCCAGUGCCUGGUAUGAAUGCUCCCAAAGUGAAUGGGAGCAAACAGCUGAGGAUAUCAGUGGCAUCCCUCUUAAUGUGUCAGAGCCUUUCUGACUCAGGAAAACUUUGACAGUAAUUUUGGAAAAACACGCAGAGCCUGUGGGAAAGGCACCUUCAUCCAAGAGGGGCACUUUGAUACCUUCCUUUUGAGCCUCUUAGAUUUUUUCAAAAUUGCAAUUUAAAUAUUCAGAAUUCAAAGAAUAAGCCAAGAAACUGAGUUGAGAAAAAGCAGUUGGAAUUAAUUUAUACCAGGGUUUCUCAACACAUCUGUGCUGGAUAAUUGUGGGGGCGGUCCUGUGCAUCGUAGGAUGUUUAACAACAUCCCUGGCCCCUGCCCACUAGAUGCCAGUAGCACUCUCCCCUAGUUGUGACAACC
Callorhinus ursinus (northern fur seal) is the source of this 1686-nucleotide non-coding RNA. Lineage: Eukaryota; Metazoa; Chordata; Mammalia; Carnivora; Otariidae. The record is from RefSeq and is a predicted model, not a curated record.